CCUACGGGUGGCUGCAGUCGAGAAUCAUUCACAAUGGGGGCAACCCUGAUGGUGCGACGCCGCGUGGGGGAAUGAAGGUCUUCGGAUUGUAAACCCCUGUCAUGUGGGAGCAAAUUAAAAAGAUAGUACCACAAGAGGAAGAGACGGCUAACUCUGUGCCAGCAGCCGCGGUACUACAGAGGUCUCAAGCGUUGUUCGGAAUCACUGGGCGUAAAGCGUGCGUAGGCGGUUUCGUAAGUCGUGUGUGAAAGGCGGGGGCUCAACCCGCGGACGGCACAUGAUACUGCGAGACUAGAGUAAGGGAGGGGGAGCCGGAAUUCGCGGUGUAGCAGUGAAAUGCGUAGAUAUCGAGAGGAACACUCGUGGCGAAGGCGGGUUCCUGGACAUUAACUGACGCUGAGGCACGAAGGCCAGGGGAGCGAAAGGGAUUAGAUACCCUUGUAGUC
RNAcentral lists this ribosomal RNA (446 nucleotides) under uncultured bacterium. RNAcentral's name for it is "partial 16S ribosomal RNA". It matches the Rfam family "Bacterial small subunit ribosomal RNA", at positions 338 to 795 of the family's 1533-position model. The record is from RNAcentral.